AGUGUUCUCACUGCUGGUGGUUCGCCUCGCAUCCCGCGGGGCGGAGCAAAAGGGAACCCGGUGCGAAUCCGGGACUGCCCCGCAGCGGUGAGCGGGAACGACCGCCGUCAACAGCACUGGGCGAGAGCCUGGGAAGCGACGGCCAGUAGGCACGAGCACGUCGCCCGCGAGUCCGAAGACCUGCCACCCGUGCGCACACCAC
This 202-nucleotide non-coding RNA is filed under the name Pseudonocardia sp. Lineage: Bacteria; Bacillati; Actinomycetota; Actinomycetes; Pseudonocardiales; Pseudonocardiaceae. The record is from RNAcentral.